UACAGAGGGGGCAAGCGUUAUUCGGAAUUAUUGGGCGUAAAGGGCGCGUAGGCGGCUUUGCAAGUGGCGGGUGAAAUCCCUCGGCUUAACCGAGGAACUGCCUGCCAGACUGUGAGGCUUGAGACCGGGAGAGGUGAGUGGAAUUCCCAGUGUAGAGGUGAAAUUCGUAGAUAUUGGGAAGAACACCGGUGGCGAAGGCGGCCAUCUGGACCGCAACUGACGCUGAGGCGCGAAAGCGUGGGGAGCAAACAGG
RNAcentral lists this ribosomal RNA (253 nucleotides) under uncultured bacterium. RNAcentral's name for it is "partial 16S ribosomal RNA". It matches the Rfam family "Bacterial small subunit ribosomal RNA", at positions 524 to 776 of the family's 1533-position model. The record is from RNAcentral.